UUUCGAAUCAUUCACAAUGGGCGAAAGCCUGAUGGUGCGACGCCGCGUGAGGGAUGAAGGUCUUCGGAUUGUAAACCUCUGUCACCGGGGAAGAAACGCUUUGAGUUAAUAGUUCAAAGCCUGACUUAACCCGGAGAGGAAGCAGUGGCUAACUCUGUGCCAGCAGCCGCGGUAAUACAGAGACUGCAAGCGUUAUUCGGAUUCACUGGGCGUAAAGGGUGCGCAGGCGGCCAAGUGUGUGAGGUGUGAAAGCCCGGGGCUUAACUCCGGAAUUGCACCUCAAACUACUUGGCUAGAGCAUUGGAGAGGGUAGCAGAAUUCAUGGUGUAGCAGUGAAAUGCGUAGAUAUCAUGAGGAAUACCAGAGGCGAAGGCGGCUACCUGGACAAUUGCUGACGCUC
This 400-nucleotide ribosomal RNA is filed under the name uncultured bacterium. RNAcentral describes it as "bacterial SSU rRNA". It matches the Rfam family "Bacterial small subunit ribosomal RNA", at positions 355 to 748 of the family's 1533-position model. The record is from RNAcentral.